UUCCAACAGUUUAAUCGUAAC
RNAcentral lists this non-coding RNA (21 nucleotides) under Caenorhabditis elegans. Lineage: Eukaryota; Metazoa; Nematoda; Chromadorea; Rhabditida; Rhabditidae. The record is from RNAcentral.